RNAcentral lists this ribosomal RNA (497 nucleotides) under uncultured bacterium. Its description in RNAcentral is "partial 16S ribosomal RNA". It matches the Rfam family "Bacterial small subunit ribosomal RNA", at positions 28 to 507 of the family's 1533-position model. The record is from RNAcentral.
GAUGAACGCUGGCGGCGUGCCUAAUACAUGCAAGUCGAGCGAACAGACGAGGAGCUUGCUCCUUUGACGUUAGCGGCGGACGGGUGAGUAACACGUGGAUAACCUACCUAUAAGACUGGGAUAGCUUCGGGAAACCGGAGCUAAUACCGGAUAACAUGUUGAACCGCAUGGUUCAACAGUGAAAGACGGUCUUGCUGUCACUUAUAGAUGGAUCCGCGCCGCAUUAGCUAGUUGGUAAGGUAACGGCUUACCAAGGCAACGAUGCGUAGCCGACCUGAGAGGGUGAUCGGCCACACUGGAACUGAGACACGGUCCAGGCUCCUACGGGAGGCAGCAGUAGGGAAUCUUCCGCAAUGGGCGAAAGCCUGACGGAGCAACGCAGCGUGAGUGAAGAAGGUCUUCGGAUCGUAAAACUCUGUUAUUAGGGAAGAACAAAUGUGUAAGUAACUAUGCACGUCUUGACGGUACCUAAUCAGAAAGCCACGGCUAACUACGUG